GCUCUCUUAGCUCAGUGGGAGAGCGCGCCACUCGUAUUACAAUGAUAUGGUGAGGUCACUAGUUCAAUCCUGGUAGGGAGCA
Molecule: non-coding RNA, 82 nt
Organism: Melanopsichium pennsylvanicum
Lineage: Eukaryota; Fungi; Basidiomycota; Ustilaginomycetes; Ustilaginales
Source: the annotation of a GenBank genome assembly